This is a long non-coding RNA of Solanum pennellii, 2853 nucleotides long. RefSeq lists it as uncharacterized. The record is from RefSeq and is a predicted model, not a curated record. NCBI's taxonomy places the organism in Eukaryota, Viridiplantae, Streptophyta, Magnoliopsida, Solanales, Solanaceae. The transcript is spliced from 3 exons.
GUCUUUAAUUGCUUUAUUGCUUUUUCUAAUUUCAACUUGAUGAUUAUGUUUUCUCCCUUUUCUGUUAACUGUUGCUAGUGAUAAUAGAAUAGAAAUAGAAGAUUUGUUUACGUAAGAUGGAAAACCUAUAGAGUUUUGGAUAUUGUUGAAAGUGAAGCUUGCUUCAUUUAAGAUUUGGAUGAAUUAGGAGAAGCCGGUGCAAACUAAAUGGAGAAAAAGCUUUGGAUGAUGCAAAAGUAUGUUCCUAUUUGAUGAACUAGAUCCCAAAGAUGAGAAAAUACAUAGUAACUUUCAAAUUUCAUUACAUGUCAUGUUCUUGCUGUAGUUAUACCGAUUGCCAUGCAUAUGGUACUGUCUUCCCAAAUGACUCUCCCCUCUUUGAUCAUGGUGUGUCCAUUUUGGUACCCGUAUACAGUAGAUUCAACUAAUAGCAUUCUUGUUGUAUGCGAGUAGUAAAAUCCUCAAUAGAUCUGUUAGAAUAGGACUGCGCAAAGGCAUAUUUCUCUUGCAAUUUCUCUUGAGAUUCAACUACAGGCAGAUUUCUCUUGCUGUUUGGAUCUCCAGCAUGUUCAUGUUCUACUAAUCUCUAUUGCCUUCUUUUAGCAAGAGUGACAUUGUUUGUCUCUAAAUUUAUCAUACUUGAGUUCUGUAAAUAUGUUAGCACUAAAUAUUAGUCUAGUAGAGUGUAUUGUUGUGUAUUAUUGAUGAAUAACAUCCAGUCCGUGAUUCCAUUUGGAGAGGUAGUCAACUAUUUAGUUUGCGCUUCUUUUUUCCUACUUAUUUUUUGAUGAUUAUGUAUUUUCUAAAAAGUUUGGUUCUUGGUAUCCUCCUGCUCUUUUUUUAGUGCUUAUGUUUUCAUAAAUGAUGUGUUUUUGCUUUCCUUGAGCGGAGAGUCUAUUGGAGACAGUCUAUGGGUAUGUUGAUAUUGGUAUAUCAAUAUGAUUGAAGUAUGAUCACUUCUAUCAACAAUCUAGAUGCCAAAAAGUUAUAUGAAGGGAUUUAAUAGUACAAUACGACUGUUUCAGUGUAUGAGAAUUUUCUUGUUCCAACAUUCAUUGUUAUUGUUACUGUCAAAUCUGUAGGCACUCAUUCCUUUGUAUGUUAUUUUGGGCGCUGCUUUCUUGAGAGACAUAUUAGUACCUUUUCUUUAACAUGUUUGGGUGACACUUAGAUUUUAUUUAAUGUGUAAAGACUAUGCCAAAAAUGAAGAAUCAUGUGACCUUGUUGAAGUUGGGCAAAGUGAAGCAUACACUAGAUUUUAAUGAGUUUGAAUGUCGUACUUUUAAAAUUGCUUGGGAGUUGGGAUUUUAUACCAUAUUCUGAUAUGUUGAAAAGUUAGACAACACCUGCAUUUGCUUUAGUGAACCCUAAGGAAAACAAAUUGUAAAAAUACAUUACUUUAACAUUUGAAGGCUUUAUAAGUUUACGAAACCAUAUAAAGUCAUAUAUAUUAAAAACUCUUAUUUGAUGGAUGUAGAUUCUUCUAAAUUGUAAACCCAUUAUGUAACUGUAUAUAUUAUUUUUCCUGUACUCUUAUACUUUUAUAUAUGCAUAUUUUGACCAAAUUUUUUUGUAAACCAAGAAAUCUUCUCAACUAUUUCAGGUUUUGCUGUGAGGGAAUUAUUAUUAUACAGACACCAAAAUCAAGUAUCACUGAUCUGUUAACAAUAAAAUGACUAUAUUUCAAUAUUGAAAUAAUGACACACAGUUUUGUAGUUGUUAUUAUGCAUAUAUGAUAAAUAAAAAUGGUAACAAGGUACUCAAAACUCGAAACUCAUUAUGAAUUGGAUCAUCUCAUAACACAUGAUGCUGAUCCUGAUGAUUCAUAACAUGAAACUCACUAUAAUUUAAUGAUUGUUACUGAAAGAUUGAAUAUUGAUAUUUUCUUCUAGGAAUUCAAAUAUCCCAUCCAAGGAUUGGAUGGAUUUAGCAAGGUAUAGCAAAGAGGAUAUUGUUGGGGUUGAAUCAUUCCUAGAUUUCUCUUGCUCUUAUGGAGAUCCUCAAGGAGAUGAAAUUCAGUGUCCAUGUGCCAAAUGUUUUAAGAUUCAUUGGACUAGAAGGAAUAUAGUGUAUGAUCAUCUAAUAUGCUAUGAGUUUGUUAAAGGAUAUAUUUAAUGGAUCAAUCACAGAGAAUGGGAUAUCAAGUUGAAUGUUGACGAUGAUAUGAAUUACUCGCUUGAUGAUAUGGAUGGAUUGUUGAAUGAUCAAUCUUGAAAUGUUUCAUAGGAUGAAGGAGUUUAUGAUGGUCCAAAUGAAGAUUCCAAGAAAUUCUAUAACUUAGUUGAAGAGGCAAACCAAGAUUUAUAUCCAGGCUGAACUUCAGAAUCGCCAAAAAUCUGGCAAAACAGAUGAUGAUGCAUUUAGGACAGUGUUUGGAAAGGAGCAGCCUGGUCAACUUAGGUGCUAUGGAAGAUCAAUGACAACAAGAAGAAAUUUACAAGCUAAAACAAAAGCAUGCCAAUGAAAUCACUUUCCUAAAGGAAGAAAUGAGAGAUGAAAUGCGAUGUUUAUUCACUCAAUUAUUGCAAAUCAACCCUGGAUUAAUUUUCAAGAUAUACCAGGUGUGUGUUGGAUCUAACCAUGCUUCCCCGUUGAUGCAAGUAGCGCACAAGCUCUACGAGGCACAAAUCUUCCACAUUCUUCACGAUCAGCUCGUGAUUCUAUUCUUCAAAAGGAAAAUGCCGGUAAUUUAAUUUGAAUUGUGGCAGAAGUAAACUCGAUCUAUUUUUAUAGUGAACGAUGAAGAGUUUUUGUACUAUUGUCAUAUACGUUAGUAUGCAUUUGGUAUUUUGGAAUUUAUUGAUAUUAGAGAUCUUUAAGCAAUUACUUUCUAUGUUUUGGAGUUUUUAAACA